GGUCUGGUUAGGAGUGGAGGUGAAGCGAGGUAUUCCUGAAGCUAAUUGAAGGCAGACUAGCACUCCGCCAUCCAUUGGAAGUCCUUGAUCUACUUUUAGAUCUUGAAUAAUAAAAGAUACUUCUCCGUCGAUCUGGCCAUGAACUUACCAAGCACAACGACUCAUCCCAUGAGGCACUACACUUGCUUAUGGAUCCUCGGAGGUAACAUCUCCAUG
Molecule: long non-coding RNA, 216 nt
Filed under: Elaeis guineensis (African oil palm)
Lineage: Eukaryota; Viridiplantae; Streptophyta; Magnoliopsida; Arecales; Arecaceae
Description: long non-coding RNA (EGUI_LNC041786)
Source: RNAcentral